GACGAACGCUGGCGGCGUGCUUAACACGUGCAAGUCGAACGGAAAGGCCCUGCUUUUGUGGGGUGCUCGAGUGGCGAACGGGUGAGUAACACGUGAGUAACCUGCCCUUGACUUUGGGAUAACUUCAGGAAACUGGGGCUAAUACCGGAUAGGAGCUCCUGCUGCAUGGUGGGGGUUGGAAGGUUUCGGCGGUUGGGGAUGGACUCGCGGCUUAUCAGCUUGUUGGUGGGGUAGUGGCUUACCAAGGCUUUGACGGGUAGCCGGCCUGAGAGGGUGACCGGCCACAUUGGGACUGAGAUACGGCCCAGACUCCUACGGGAGGCAGCAGUGGGGAAUAUUGCACAAUGGGCGGAAGCCUGAUGCAGCAACGCCGCGUGCGGGAUGACGGCCUUCGGGUUGUAAACCGCUUUCGCCUGUGACGAAGCGUGAGUGACGGUAAUGGGUAAAGAAGCACCGGCUAACUACGUG
RNAcentral lists this ribosomal RNA (468 nucleotides) under uncultured bacterium. RNAcentral's name for it is "partial 16S ribosomal RNA". It matches the Rfam family "Bacterial small subunit ribosomal RNA", at positions 28 to 507 of the family's 1533-position model. The record is from RNAcentral.